This 323-nucleotide ribosomal RNA is filed under the name uncultured eukaryote. Its description in RNAcentral is "partial 18S ribosomal RNA". It matches the Rfam family "Eukaryotic small subunit ribosomal RNA", at positions 1470 to 1796 of the family's 1831-position model. The record is from RNAcentral.
CCCUUAGAUGUUCUGGGCCGCACGCGUGCUACACUGAACGGUUCAAUGGGUAAGGUAGUGCGAAAGCAUGACCGAAUCUCGAAAUCCGUUCGUGCUGGGGAUAGAAGCUUGCAAUUAUCCUUCUUGAACGAGGAAUACCUUGUAAGCGUGAGUCAUCAUCUCACGCUGAAUACGUCCCUGCCCUUUGUACACACCGCCCGUCGCUCCUACCGAUUGAGUGUUCCGGUGAGGCUUUGGGAGAAUGGCCUCAACAUGAGUUUAUCGUGUUUUGCCGUUUGAACUUAGUCAAACCUUAUCACUUAGAGGAAGGAGAAGUCGUAACA